RNAcentral lists this ribosomal RNA (267 nucleotides) under uncultured bacterium. RNAcentral's name for it is "partial 16S ribosomal RNA". It matches the Rfam family "Bacterial small subunit ribosomal RNA", at positions 794 to 1055 of the family's 1533-position model. The record is from RNAcentral.
GUCACGCCCUAAACGAUGGAUGCUCGACGUGAGAGGUAUCGACCCCCCUCGUGUCGCAGCUAACGCAUUAAGCAUCCCGCCUGGGGACUACGGCCGCAAGGUUGAAACUCAAAUGAAUUGACGGGGACCCCGCACAAGCGGUGGAGCAUGUGGAUUAAUUCGAUACUAACCGAAGAACCUUACCCAGGUUUGACAUCGCGAGUAAUCCCGGGAAAUCGGGACCUCUCUCACAAGGAGACUCAAAGACAGAUGUUGCAUGGCUGUCGU